UACAGAGGUCCCGAGCGUUGUUCGGAUUCACUGGGCGUAAAGGGUGCGUAGGCGGUCGGGUAAGUCUGAUGUGAAAUCUCGGAGCUCAACUCCGAAACUGCAUUGGAUACUAUUCGGCUUGAGGUCUGGAGGGGGGACUGGAAUUCUCGGUGUAGCAGUGAAAUGCGUAGAUAUCGAGAAGAACACCCGUGGCGAAGGCGGCUCUCUGGAACGCAACUGACGCUGAGACGCGAAAGCGUGGGGAGCAAACAGG
RNAcentral lists this ribosomal RNA (253 nucleotides) under uncultured bacterium. RNAcentral's name for it is "partial 16S ribosomal RNA". It matches the Rfam family "Bacterial small subunit ribosomal RNA", at positions 524 to 776 of the family's 1533-position model. The record is from RNAcentral.